Molecule: ribosomal RNA, 106 nt
Filed under: Caerostris extrusa
Lineage: Eukaryota; Metazoa; Arthropoda; Arachnida; Araneae; Araneidae
Source: RNAcentral
AACGGCCAUACCAUGCUCAAUAUACCGGUUCUCGUUAGAUCACCGAAGUCAAGCAUCACGCGGUCAGUGCUUGGGUGGGUGACCACCUGGGAACACGGCGGGCCGU